UCUGCCUAUUAGUGGGGGACAACAUUCCGAAAGGAAUGCUAAUACCGCAUACGUCCUACGGGAGAAAGCAGGGGAUCUUCGGACCUUGCGCUAAUAGAUGAGCCUAAGUCGGAUUACCUAGUUGGUGGGGUAAAGGCCUACCAAGGCGACGAUCUGUAGCGGGUCUGAGAGGAUGAUCCGCCACACUGGGACUGAGACACGGCCCAGACUCCUACGGGAGGCAGCAGUGGGGAAUAUUGGACAAUGGGCGGAAGCCUGAUCCAGCCAUGCCGCGUGUGUGAAGAAGGCCUUUUGGUUGUAAAGCACUUUAAGCGAGGAGGAGGCUACUCUAGUUAAUACCUAGAGAUAGUGGACGUUACUCCCAGAAUAAGCACCGGCUAACUCUGUGCCAGCAGCCGCGGUAAUACAGAGGGUGCGAGCGUUAAUCGGAUUUACUGGGCGUAAAGCGUGCGUAGGCGGCUGAUUAAGUCGGAUGUGAAAUCCCUGAGCUUAA
RNAcentral lists this ribosomal RNA (493 nucleotides) under Acinetobacter haemolyticus. RNAcentral's name for it is "bacterial SSU rRNA". It matches the Rfam family "Bacterial small subunit ribosomal RNA", at positions 125 to 612 of the family's 1533-position model. The record is from RNAcentral. Lineage: Bacteria; Pseudomonadati; Pseudomonadota; Gammaproteobacteria; Moraxellales; Moraxellaceae.